Molecule: ribosomal RNA, 479 nt
Filed under: uncultured Chloroflexota bacterium
Lineage: Bacteria; Bacillati; Chloroflexota
Description: bacterial SSU rRNA
Rfam family: Bacterial small subunit ribosomal RNA
Source: RNAcentral
CAAGGAAUAUUGCGCAAUGGACGAAAGUCUGACGCAGCAACACCGCGUGGAGGAUGACGGCCUUCGGGUUGUAAACUCCUUUCUGGGGAAGAGAAAGGACGGUACCCCAGGAAUAAGUCUCGGCUAACUACGUGCCAGCAGCCGCGGUAAAACGUAGGAGGCGAACGUUAUCCGGAUUUACUGGGCGUAAAGCGCAUGCAGGCGGUUUCUUAAGUCGGACGUGAAAGCUCCUGGCUCAACUGGGAGAGGCCGUUCGAAACUGGGAAACUUGAGGAUGGUAGAGGAGAGUGGAAUUCCCGGUGUAGUGGUGAAAUGCGUAGAUAUCGGGAGGAACACCAGUGGCGAAGGCGGCUCUCUGGGCCAUUCCUGACGCUAAGAUGCGAAAGCUAGGGGAGAGGAACGGGAUUAGAAACCCCGGUAUUCCUAGCCGUAAACGAUGUCAACUAGGUGUAGGGGUAUCCAACCCCUCUGUGCUGUAG